AAUAAAAUUAAUCACUCUCAACUGAGUAAUUUAUUAAAGGGUUUGAAGGAUAUUUUUCCAGAAUAUGAACUUCCACGCGAUGCUCGCACUCUGUUAAAAACUAAACGAUCAUCAAAUAUUGUGUCAGUCUUAAGCAAAACGAAGACAAUAGCUCAGUACACAUAUUUUGGUAUAAAAGAGUAUCUAUUAACGUUGCUACAAAAUGAAAAUGUAUUUACUGAACUAAAAGAAACACUUAUGUUUCGAUUAAUUUUUAAUAUCGAUGGCAUUCCGAUUUCAAAAAGUUCGAACAAACAGUUUUGGCCCAUUUUAUGCAAAUUAAUAUUAAACAAUUGUACGGUGUCUCCUUUUCCGAUAGCAAUAUAUUAUGGUAAUGCAAAACCGAAUUCCUUGGUUGAUUACUUAAAUGAUUUUAUACGUGAAUUAAAUGAUAUUUUAGAGCAUGGAUUAUUUUACAAUAAUACUUAUUUUAAAGUAGAUGUUAUAUGCUUUACGUGUGAUGCACCUGCAAGAGCAUUUUUAAAAAAUAUUAAGGGACAUACAGGUCGCAAUAGCUGUGAAAGAUGUACAGAAGAAGGUACAUAUUAUAAAAAACGAAUUAUCUAUGAAAACCAUAAUGCUAGUGCUCGGACACAUUUUGAUUUUGAACAUUUCCGCGACAUGAACCACCAUCAAAACGAUGAAAGGAUACCUUUAUUAAAUAUAAUUAAAUUAGAUAUAAUAAAACAUUUUGCUUUAGAUUAUAUGCAUUUAUGCUGUUUAGGAGUCAUGAAGAAAUUACUUGGUCAUUGGUGUAAGAUAGAGUUUAGAUUACAACAGAGAAACAAAUUAUCUGAAAGAAUGGUUUCUGCUGCAAAAUAUUUACCAAGUGAAUUUAAUCGUAAAUCACGACCCAUAUCGGAACUACCUAGAUACAAAGCUACGGAGUUUCGUUUAUUUCUCUUGUAUUUGGGGCCAAUUGUUUUGAAGGGAGUUCUUCCAAAUGAGCAUUAUAAGCAUUUUUUAUUAUUUCACGCAGCUAUUAGAAUUUUGCUACAUAAUAAAUUACGUUUAAACGUAGAGUGGCUAAACAAAGCUCGAGAAAUGCUAAUUUUAUUUGUAAAUAAUUCUUCUGCUUUGUAUGGUAGAGAAUUUUGUAUAUAUAAUGUUCAUAAUUUAGUGCACAUUACAGACGAUGUCGAAAAUUUAAACUAUUCUUUGGAGGAAUUAAGUUGCUUCCCUUUUGAAAAUUACUUGGGAAAGCUAAUAAGCAUGCUACGUAGAUGGAAUAAACCAUUGGCACAAAUAACAAAAAGGUUAUCGGAAAAUGGAGCACCUACAGUCAUAAAAAAUGUUAACGAAAUAAUUGUUAAAGUACAAAAUAAUAAAAAAAAAGUACAACUUCCUUAUUUUGAUUUAAAAGCUUAUGGGUUUCGUGAUUGUUAUAUUUUUGUAACGAAUGAUUAUGUCCUGCAAAUCACAAACAUAUUAGAAAAUAAAAUAGUUGGCAAAUUAUCAACAAAAUUAGAAACUUUUUACAAAUACCCUGUCGAAUCCAAAAUAAUAGGAAUAUUUAAAUUUAAUAAUUUCACAGAUGAAAUUAUUUCAUUUGGUCUGAAUGAAAUUGCGCAUAAAGCAUUUAUAGUUAAAUACCACUCGUACUUUGUAGCAUAUGAACUGCUCCAUUUAUAUAAUUAAUUAGGUAGUAUUUUAUUAUUAGUCAUUAAUUUAUCAGUUAUUAUUAUUGAUUACUUUUUCUUCUUGAACGUUAAGUACACAUACACACAUAUACACUUCUUCUGUUCCAAAACACUCUUAUUGGUAUAGGAUUAAUCCCAAAAUUUUUUAGAUGUCAUCCAAAAAAGCAUAUCCAAUUACACAAAAGCGACGUGCAAUUAUGUAUGAUUCCGAUUCUGCGAGUGAAAGCUCAGAAAUUAAUCAGCCUAAUACAGAAGCACCAAAUACAAAUAUUAUAACGUUAAGUAAAGAACCAUUGGCAUUGUUAAAUCGUCAAUAUGUUGAACUGAAAUAUGACAUUAAACAAAUUU
Molecule: RNA transcript, 2027 nt
Organism: Osmia bicornis bicornis
Lineage: Eukaryota; Metazoa; Arthropoda; Insecta; Hymenoptera; Megachilidae
Exons: 2
Source: RefSeq, a predicted model, not a curated record